RNAcentral lists this ribosomal RNA (318 nucleotides) under Salmonella enterica subsp. enterica serovar Enteritidis. RNAcentral's name for it is "bacterial SSU rRNA". It matches the Rfam family "Bacterial small subunit ribosomal RNA", at positions 1 to 316 of the family's 1533-position model. Lineage: Bacteria; Pseudomonadati; Pseudomonadota; Gammaproteobacteria; Enterobacterales; Enterobacteriaceae. The record is from RNAcentral.
UUAAUUGAAGAGUUUGAUCAUGGCUCAGAUUGAACGCUGGCGGCAGGCCUAACACAUGCAAGUCGAGCGGUAACAGGGGAAGCUUGCUUCUCGCUGACGAGCGGCGGACGGGUGAGUAAUGUAUGGGGAUCUGCCCGAUAGAGGGGGAUAACUACUGGAAACGGUAGCUAAUACCGCAUAAUCUCUUAGGAGCAAAGCAGGGGAACUUCGGUCCUUGCGCUAUCGGAUGAACCCAUAUGGGAUUAGCUAGUUGGUGAGGUAAUGGCUCACCAAGGCGACGAUCCCUAGCUGGUCUGAGAGGAUGAUCAGCCACACUGG